AUCUGUUUACACACAACACCACUCUGUUUACACACAACAUUAAUCUGUUUACACACAACACUAAUCUGUUUACACACAACAUUAAACACAAACUUCAUCAAAAAUGAAAAUACACCCAAAUAGAGUUAAAAAAAAAACAAACAUCACUUCCGGCUCCGAAUGUUUAUCUUUGUGUGUGUGUAUGGAUAUGGAUUUUCACAAGCCAAAACUCAUUCAUUCGAGAAACCAACUUCUUGCUCUGAAAAAGUCCCCCGCCGGUGUGGUUCCCUGUUUACCUGAUGAGAUGAGGAGGUGGUAUUGUGGCUGCAGAGCCGGUGCUAAGCUAAAGGCUAAGCGGCUAGCGAAGGCGUGGCGAUAUAAGCCUUUGGUACCUUCUGUAAUCAUGGGAAAAUGUGAACUCGCUACCGAACAAGAUCAAUGAGCUGCGCUGGUGAAAAAUGAUAAAACCUACAGAGAGUGCAGUUCACACAGACACACACACACACACACACACACACAUACACACACACACACACACACACACAACUGAGAACUGUUCUCAACAGAGAGCUGGACACACAUACACAAAAUGUUUCUUGUUUACAUGUACACAUCACUUUUACACUGAUCUUGUUUACAUGUACACAUCACUUUUACACUGAUCUUGUUUACAUGUACACAUCACUUGAAUAUUUAAAUACACGUCACUUUAAAUGUAUCUGUUAUAACUAAAUUACUUCUGUUAAUUCUGCUGCUAUAUUCACUGACCUAAACCUGUUUCUAUCCUUCUUUGCACUCACUGUCUAACACUGUCCUUUUGAUCAUAGUCAGUGUUAUGUGUCUUGUUUGUCUGCACUGUCUUGUCAUCCUGUGCCCUUAUGUUGUAUGUUUAGUUUGUAAAGAAUGCACCUUGUAGUAAUAGUUUAGCUCUAUGGUGGUCCACAUCACCUGUACUCUGUUUUUGUUCUGUGUAGCACCUCUGGUCCAGGAGGAACGUUGUUUCACUUCACUGUGUACUGCAUCAGCUAUAUAUACGGUUGAAGUGACAAUAAAGCUUCUUUGACUUUGACUUUAUUGUGCUUCUGAAAAACGUGGCUAACGUCUAGCAUUCCAGAUACUAACAUGGAGCUACCUGGCUUCAGCAUGGUCAGGGCGGACAGAGACACUAAAACCUGUGGGAAGCGGAAAGGAGGAGGACUCGCCCUUAAUGUGAACACGAGGUGCUUUAAUCCUGGGCAUGUGAGCAUAAAAAACUCCAAGUCUUGACCUGAUAUGGUUUUAGCCUGACUCUAGCAGUACUAAACCAUGUCCACUAAUGAAGCCAAUUGCCAUACUCUUUCCUCUUUCCCCCAUUUUUUUAAUAUGGCUUAAUGUUCACGAUUUUUAUAGAAUAAUAACUGCUAUAGUGAUAUAGUUCAGAGGGAGAGUCAGUGUCCUUUUUAACAUCACUAGACAUUGAUAUGAUCUGUUUCAUUACACCCAAAUUGUCACUUUUGUCCUUUUUUUGGUAUUUCCCCUUUAAAUGCAUGUACCCACUGUGUCUGGUGCGCCUGGGCGGUGAUGGCGCUGUUGCUUGGGCCUGAUCAUCAUUGCUUGCAACUAUAAUAUUAAUAUUAUUAUUAUUAGUAGAAACCCUUGUUGUUUUCCAUGACUGGCUCUCGAGCCCAGUUCAGCAGUGUGUGGCCGUGUGGGAUGAUGGAGUAAAAGGUCCAGUGAUUGGACUGGACUGGAGAUUGGACUGGACCGGAGAUUGGACUGUGUGGUGUGUCAGACAGCAGCAAUGCUUAUUAUUGUUCAUGUCGCCAUCUAGUGGCCAUUUCUGAAAUUUAUCAAAUAUUCUAUUCUUAUUGCAGACUGAUAUACUGACAAAUAUUGCAUCUGUACUGCAUUUCAUUUCUGUAAAUUUUACACAGUCUUUUAUAUAACAUCACUGUACAGAGUAUAACUUUAUUACAGUGCACUCAGGACAGUACUGCACUUCAGUAAAUAAGUGUAAGAUCUAUAGACCUAAAGAUGUCUGACUGCUGGGAAAAGUCAGAGUCUGCUAUUGGUUUUGGCUCAGUCUAAAACACACUGGGAUUAUACAUGAACUAAUCUUUUACUUUUAAUAAUAACUAUGUUUUAUUUAAAAGCAGCAACAUUAUCAAGUUUAUGCAUUAGAAUUUUAAACAUAAGACACUGUAGAAAGCAUUGGAUCCUGUUUAUUCAUGACCACAUGCAAGUCUCAGAUGGAGCAUUUAAACACACACACACACACACACACAGUUCCACAGUAACAAGGAUCACAGCAACAUGACAACAAACCUCACCUAACCUUCAGAGACAUUUAUUGACCUUUGCAGUAGGUAAAAAUGGCACUGAAUUAUUUUACUGGCAGACAGUAAUGUAGUUUAUGAUGUACACAGAUAUUCAGACUGACCAGCCCUGCAAGUGUAACGUCCACUACCAACCUGAUCAUGACCCAUGUGGAGGAAGUUUCUGACACUGUUUAAUUUACUGCAGAUUCACCACAGACAAGCCCCAUGUGGUCCAGACUGUAGGAGCAGAUGAUCCCAACAUGCCCCGCCUACAGACCACACCCACAGGCCAUACCUACAGACCACACCCACAGGCCAUACCUACAGACAAGACCAAUGUGGUCCAGAUUGUAGGAACAGAUGAUCCCAACAUGCCCCGCCCACAGACCACACCCACAGGCCAUACCCACAGGCCACACUCACAGGCCACACCUACAGACAAGACCAAUGAGGGCCAGAUUGUAGGAACAGAUGAUCCCAACAUGCCCCGCCCACAGACCACACCCACAGACAAGACCAGUGUGGUCCAGACUGUAGGAGCAGAUGAUCCCAACACUUCCUCAUAGAAACUAGUUCUAAUCAUCCAGACUGAUGAGCUUUUCCAGCUGCUCUCGUUUAGACACGCUUAAGGCCUGGUCACACUACAGGACUUUAACCAUCGGCAGAUCGCUUUUCUGUUCAGACUACAUGACUUCACUGUAUGUCUUUUUGUCCUUGUGGUGUUCACACUAUGCGACGCUUCAUAAAUGAUCCACAAGAGGGCGCCGCACACCACACCAUCUGACAACAACGCCGUGUCACUCAACGCCUCGACGCCGUCCCCAAACCACGUUUUGUCACGAAAACACACGCGACAGGUGGAUCCGGAAAUGACGCGAGACUUUCGGUUUGUUUUGAAAAUGGACGUCGGCAGGAGUCUCGCUCUAAAUAAAUGUUAAUUUAUUAAAAUAAAUGUUGUGUUCACACUAUUUUUGAAGCCAUGUUGCUGCUGCUGCUUUUCUUCCGGUGACCUCAACUCUGUUGACUUGCUCUCUCAUUGGCUGGAGGUCGUAGAGACGAACAGAGAGAUUAUCUGAUGCUCAGAUUACAGUUCCAUCUCCUUGUCUGAGAUAAAGCAUCUGGUUCUGGGGUUUUGUCUUUUUGGUGAGGCUGAAGAAAAAGCUGGGGGCAUCCAUGUCUUUAAUGCUGGAAAAGAGGCAUGCAGGACAAGCGGCUUAUCCAUGCAGGAAAGAACUUAAAAACCUCUUCCUUCCAAAUCUCUUGCUUACUCCGAGGACUUCGAAUCUCCGAACCUCCUUGGUCCACUACAUCUGGACUCUUAUCAACGAACCAAUGCAAGUAAAAGUUACUAAUUAUUUUAGAUCCACAAUUUUAAGCUGAAGCCCCUUUAUUUAAGGCGAAUCCUAAUUACCUUGACGAUUCUCACACAGGUGUAAUCAAAACUCGAUCUGAAACUUGUCAUAUUUGAUCUCUUCUCUGUUUCCUUAUCUCCUUCUCUCUCUCUCUCUCUCUCUCGUUCUGAUUUCCUCCGUAUUCCCUUCCUUAAUCUCAAUCUCUCUUUGCCUACUUAUCCCCUCUCUAUAAUCCUUAUUCUGUCUUUUAUGUUAUGUGUGUCGUAGUUAGUAUGUGUUGUGUGUUUCUGUUUUAUUAAAUGCAUUUUAUUCACGAGUGAUUGUCUCUGUGCUUUGCUCACAAUUUUGGGGUCCCUGAACAUUGACCUUGCUACGUGCUAAAUUACAGCUAGUACUUUAUAAAGUAGUUAUUCUUUCUUGGCCAGGAAGAUAACUUUUCCUGGAAUUAAUAAAUAAUUAUACUGUCUGUUCGCUGGACAAACAAAUCAAAUAAUUGUGUUAUUGAUUCUCUGACAGUUAGUUCUAAACUCCAUUUGAAUAUUUAUAAUUAAUUAUAACCAUACACAUAAGUGUAAGUUAUAAUUACACUUAAAUAUUUAAAUUUUGAGCUAAUUUCGUCACAGUCCUGUGCUUUUUUAUAUCAGAUGUCAUUAGGUCUAUUGUGACUAAAUGAUGAUCUGGAAUCCCAGUAGGGGAAAUGCUUUAUAAAAUCUACUUCUAUUGUGUUUGGUUAUGUAAAACCUGUCCAGUCUUGCUGCAGAGAUCCUUGUGUCAGUAACUUUAACCCAUGUGUAUUGUUUAAUUCCCUGUUUUUUCCCCUCCACACAUCAACUACACUACACUGACUCUUCAGAUGUCUUUGCGGACUGUGGGUGUGGUUCUUCCCCAUUUCUGUCUAAGACCCUUUAACUUCUUCACUGGAGGGAUUAAGAGAAGGAAGAGGGAAGAACAGGUAAGAACAGCAGUGAAGACAGAAGAGGACACCCAGUGUGAUGACUUCAUUUCCGCUUUCUUUUGCCAAUGGACUUCCGUAGCUUUGCUAAAUGAUUCUGUAACCUGUAUCUCUUCUUUUUAUCUAAUUCCUCAUAACUCGGUGUUCGUUGUCUUUACUGACUAACAUCUUUAUACUCUCUGAGACCUCUGCACACAUUGACCAUACCACAAUUUUGAAAUCCCCCAUGCUGUCUAACCCACCUGUUUGUUCUAAUACCUCUGCUCUGUUCAGCAUGGUCACUUCUACUGAUGCCUUCUCCAUCCUUUUCAUCUCUACACAUCUCUCUACAGUUGUCUGAAUGUCUGACCCGUUAUUUGUUUUUUUCACUUUCUUUUACUUUCUCAAUCUGUUUACCAUCAUCUACUUGUUCGUCACAUGUCUGUUCACUGCUGCUCUGCGCAUUAGCCUCUACAGUGGUUUGGUCAGUGUUCUGCCCUCCGGCAGCAUCUGACUGCCCCACACUACUACUUGUUCCAUCCUGCCUCUCAGCCCUGUCUCCUCUGGGCCCAACUUCCUCAUUGUCCUGUGUUCUGUGUGGACAAACAAACUUUUUGUGGCCGAUGUCCCCACACUCAAAACACCUCAUGUUCCCGGGACUGGCAAAUAGCAUGUAUGAUUUUCCUUCAUACCACACCCUGAAAGAUAUAUCUAAGGUGGGUUCAUUCAGAAACAUGAGCACUGUGUGCCUGAAAGAGACGACGUGCUUCAGUGAGGGGUUUUUACAGUUCAGUGAAACCAUUCUUAUAUCGCUCACUAUCUUCCAGAAGCGAGACAAUUCCCGCUCAAUAUUCUCAUUAGGAAUAAAUGGAGGAAUAUUAGACACUGUAACUUUGGUUGUUGUUGCGUCCAGCAGCGUUACAAAGUAAAACUCUCCAUUUACCCUGAUACCGUCUUCAGUCAGCUGCCGCACGAGCUCUCUGUCUUUUACAAACACCACCACAGCUUUAUUCAUCUGCAAUGCAGACACAAUGUUAUCACAUCCCACACUCUCUCCUACCGCCAGUAACACCUGCUCCACCGAGACCUCGGAGCUGACCUCACACCACUAUGGGAUCAAAUUUCCACCAAAAGUAUCCCAAAAAAUUCCCAAAUUUUGCGCUGCGAGUUUCAUGUAAAUUCGGGGUGGCUUUAGCGUCACCACUGGUCCACUACAUCUAGACCAGGGGUAGGCAGGUUCAGUCCUAGAGAGCCGCAGUCCUGCAGAUUUCAGCUCCAACCCUAAUCAAACACACCUGAACAAGCUAAUCAAGAUCUUCAGGAUUACUAAAGCUACAGGCAGGUGAGGUUUUUUUUCAGGGUUGGAGCUGAAAUCUGCAGGACUGCGGCUCUCUAGGACCGAACUUGCCUACCCCUGGUCUAGACUGACAGCUCCUCCUCUAGCCAAUCAAUGCUACUCGCAGUCAUUGGCUAUCUGGACAAUCGUGCAGUUUUUUCGCUCCACAAGUUCUUAUGGCUCAUUCCCGUCAGCAAAAUGCCGGACAGUCUCAGGUACCUGAACAUAAAUAUAUUGUUGGUGGCUGACAUAUACACUUUUUAAAGUUUUGCAAAAUAAAAUGUUGUCCUAGUUGGUCAUUAUAUAGCUAGUGUCAUUAUAUAGCAAAGAUUUUUAUAUUUUAGCCGUAGUUAAGGUUAUUGACUGUAUAAUCUAAAAAUGGGGGAAAGUGUACCUGCUUUUCCAUGAGGAUGAUGCUAUUAUGUAUUCAUCCUAAUUAAUUGGGACAUGUGGGACGUGUGUCAGGUCUUUUUCCAUGAUAGUACAACUGAAAACAGUAUCAAGACCAUCCAGUGGUGCAUUUAGACCAUUCAAUAAUUUACCUCUAGUUUAUUUUAAGAAAUGUACCAGAUUGUUGUCAUUGUGGUUUGCAUGUACCAUGUGUGAUAAAAAUGUAUGACUUUGUACAACAGAAUGAAAACAUCAAAAAAAGUGAAUGCUUUUUUUUUGUUGUUGUUGUUGAUAAUUUCACUUUUUUUUGAUAUUCAUAGAUUGUUUCAAGGUUGCUUAAGAGAGACUUCUGUCUCGCCUACAGGAAGCCAUACAGCACCUGCCUCUGGACCUGGAUUAUUUAUAUUUUAUUUGCACAAAUGGCUUAAUAUUGAUCACUUCACACAAAAAUCGUGCACACUUGCCUCGAGAGGUAUAUCUCUGUCAAACCUGUGUUCUAUACUUUCUAUUCGACUGGACACAAGGCAUACCACUUCAGUUUCUGUGGAUGAAUUGAAAUUCGACCAGCAGGACGUCUGAAACUCAUCGUAUCUGAGCAGCACCUCAGACAAUUGAUUGAAAUUGGUCUAAAUGUACCCUGCAUUUCAAAACUGCUGGCUUGUCAGCACGAACUGUAGAACGGAGAAUGCAUGAUUUUGGUAUUACAGUGAGAGGAACAUACAGUCAUCUGACAGAUGAAGAUUUAGACAAUUUUGUGGUUGCAAUCAAAACAACAUCACCACACUCAGGUUACAGAAUGACGAGAGAACACGUGCAGGCUCUUCGUCAUCGGGUACAGUGGAGCAGAGUCUGGGACUCUAUGAAUAGAGUCGAUUCAGCUGGAGUCCUUGGUAAAAUGUCACAACUUGGACAUGUUGUAAGAAGAUCAUAUGCAGUUCAAGCAUCUCUGUCCCUUGUGCAUUUGGACACCAACCACAAGCUGAUCAGAUAUUUGGGGGCAUAGACAGCUACUCAAGAAAGGUUAGUGGUGGAUUUUUUUCAUGAAAUAAUUGUAUAAAUGUUUUGUAGUCAUACAGUUAUGUAGAUGCUAGUAACUUUAUAAAACAAGUUAUUCAUUAGAUCAUGUAUUUGGGAGCAGCAACCAACAACAGAGCAGAGACUGCUCUAGGUUUUUUCCUUGAGGCAGUAGAGAAACAUGGAGUUCCCUCACAGUAUUUUUGCACAUUUGACUACAUCCAUCCAUCCAUCCAUCCAUCCAUCCGUCUGUCUGUUGGUCUUAAAACCUUCAUUAAUAUUUAAAGCUGCAUCAAAUGUCAACUCUUCAAAAUUUAAGAUAUUACAUUUAUUUUUAAAACUGAGGACACCAUGCCAACACCAAAGUUUGAUGUUCACAGUUCAGGGCUGUGGCGGGGGAAGUUUCAUUCAUAAUCGAAGGUAAUUUCUUGUUUGUUUAGGGUGGGUAAUUCCCUUCAACUUUUUGAAUUAUAAAUGACUGUUGGCUAAUUGUAUGUAAGAAUAUUUUUGUUUUUCAUGUUUAGGGUUGAAAGGUUGUGGACAGGUGUGUGGAUGUCCCUUUCGAACUUGUAUUAGGAUGUUCUACACAGUCUGGAAGAAAGUAGCUCUCUUGAGCCAUCAAAAACCCUUCACCUCUUCUGUGUACAUUAUGUUUUUCUUCCACGCCUCCUAAGAGACCUAGGACCUCAACAUUUCGUUGCCCGAAUGCACUUACCCUCUGGAGGAGCAGAACACAGGAGUAGUGGUCCCUCAGGUGGAGUGUCUGCUCUCAGAGGAUGAAAUGGCACAACUGAGGACAAACAUUAAUCCAGUCUCACAGUCAAGAGACUUUGGCCAAGAUAUUUACUUGUCAGUGCUAGAUUUUGUACAACAGCUUGUUGAAGCAUAAAGCAAGAAAGUAUAAUUCUUUGAUUUUUUUUCUGUAAAAUUUAUGGUGUCAUUUUAACUAAUCUGUACCUAGCAAUUGUAACAUUUUUUAAGCCUUAAUUUAUUUCAUAACCAAUGUGAAAUUAUGAGUGAAUGAACACCUUUGAUAUGAAAAUAAAAUACAAGCAAUGACUUUUGAA
Molecule: long non-coding RNA, 8366 nt
Organism: Hemibagrus wyckioides
Lineage: Eukaryota; Metazoa; Chordata; Actinopteri; Siluriformes; Bagridae
Exons: 6
Source: RefSeq, a predicted model, not a curated record